UUCUCCUUCUCUGCAAGCGCCAGUGCAGCUUCCUCCGCCAAUCGUGCCUCUUCUAAUCUCUUUUGCUCUUCCAUUUUCCAUCGUUCCAGCUCCAAUGCCUGCAAAUGCCUUAUAAACUCGCUGUGCUAUACAUUUCCAUUGUCUGCUUGAGCUCGAGCUUUAGCCUUCUCAUUUCGGCUUCCACAUCUUCCUACAGUAUAAAAUGAAGAAGGAAGUGAGACAGGAUAUAUAUGGGCCAAAUCAAUGGGUACCAAUGAACUGAUAAAUCAUCAGUACUUAGUAACCUGGGAAAAUGCAUGGUUUCUUUCACUGACAAAUGAAUCUAGUGACAAGUAUUCUAUUGAUCUUCGUCCAGUGGGGUUUAACCCCUCGAGAUUAUUGUCUUCCACUUCUGAGAAACCUGAAAGCCGGGGAGGGGUGGGUCCAUCGUCCAAGCUGUCUGUAUACGGGAGAAAGCUAUCAACACUCGACCUUCCAUUACUCACAAAAGAUAUGUCAAGAUUAUCGUGUUUGGAUAUUUCAUAUGGCCUUCCACUCGCGGCUCUCCUGUGAACGAUUUGAGACCUGUUGCACUAGUAACAACCGAUGCAUCAGAGGAUCCCAAAGAGUGACUUUUUGGAUUGUGCACCCGGGGCGGUGGCACCUCAGCUACACUCGGUUUGCUGCUGUUUAUCUGCAGUGCCAUCUGGUGACGGAGUGGAUGGAUGAAUGGAGGCAGACGAGAGGCAGAUCGCGUGGAGGAUAUCUUCCCGGUUUUGGAGAUGAUAUACACAGUACAGAAAUCCGGGGCUCCUUUCAACACUGUUCCAGGAAUGUCUCUUGAUUUAAAUCUUUUUACAUGCAAAAAAAGCAACCAAGGGAUACUGAAAUCAGAGCUUUUGAACUUAACUUAAUCCCCGCAAUCCAAUAAGAAUUCUACUCUGAAUCAGCAAAUUCAACAUUUUCACUACUCAAAUAGUCUCAAAUAUGCUGCAAGGCUCACCUAAGAAGGCCUCCUUUCGUUGCAGCGCCCAGAAUGACAACCUCAAUCGCUGUUCGAUUUACAUAUUCAACAAUUGCUUUGGAAGGAUCAGAAUGCUCCAGUGAGACUUCAUAGCAUUGUACCUGUAAACAAAACCAUCAUAUAUAAGUUCUAUAAACCAAAUGGCAGGCAACAAAGUAGUGUAUACUGAAUUGAAGCUGCUACUGGUGGUACUAACAUCUUUUCGCAUGCAAAAAACACGAAAUGGAAGAAA
Long non-coding RNA from Ipomoea triloba (trilobed morning glory), 1235 nucleotides. RefSeq lists it as uncharacterized. The record is from RefSeq and is a predicted model, not a curated record. Lineage: Eukaryota; Viridiplantae; Streptophyta; Magnoliopsida; Solanales; Convolvulaceae. The transcript is spliced from 3 exons.